RNAcentral lists this ribosomal RNA (468 nucleotides) under uncultured bacterium. RNAcentral's name for it is "partial 16S ribosomal RNA". It matches the Rfam family "Bacterial small subunit ribosomal RNA", at positions 28 to 507 of the family's 1533-position model. The record is from RNAcentral.
GACGAACGCUGGCGGCGUGCUUAACACAUGCAAGUCGAACGGAAAGGCCCUGCGGUUGUGUGGUGCUCGAGUGGCGAACUUGUUAGUAACGCGUGAGUAACCAGCCCUUGGCUUAGGGAUAAUUUCAGGAAACUUGGGCUCAUACCGGAUAGGGGCUCCUGCUGCAUGUCGGUUGUUGGAAAUUUUCGGCUGUUGGGGAUAGACUCGCGGCUUAUCAGCUUGUUGGGUGGGUAGUGCCAUACCGAGGCUUUGACGGGUAGCAGGCCUGCGAGGGUUACCGGCAACAUUGGAAUGGGGAUACGGCACAGACUACUACGGGAGGCAGGAGAGGGGAGUAUUGUACAAUGGGAGGAAGCAUGAUGCGGCACAGCCGCGUGCGGGAAGAGGGGAAGCAGGUUGGAAACCGAUGUUGCAUGAGACGAAGAGUGAGUGACGGUAAUUGGCAAAGAAGCACCGGCUAACUACGUG